Molecule: long non-coding RNA, 663 nt
Filed under: Androctonus crassicauda
Lineage: Eukaryota; Metazoa; Arthropoda; Arachnida; Scorpiones; Buthidae
Source: RNAcentral
UAAAAUCUAAAAUAACUCAAACAUCAAUAAUCUGUACAAAAAUCAUUCAUUCUAUUGUAAUUUUAUAUUGGUAUCAGCCCAUAUAUCAGCCUAUGCCACCAUUUUGUGACAUAGGCUGAUUUCUGAUGACGUUUUAUAUAAACAAAACCGAAAAAAUCUCCAUUUUUCAAACUCUUCAGUGAUUUAACAUAAUAGCAAUAAUGUUGAUAUGAUGUCCAUGGCAUAUAGAAGAGUGUAUAUUGCCUUUCAUGAUUUCAGACAAAAAUCUCAUCAAUACUCAAUACUCAGAGACGAAGUACACUAUGCAUUAAGUAAAAUGAAACAUGGAAAAGCAGCAGGUGAAGAUGGAAUAACUGCAGAUAUUUUGAAGGAAGCAGAUGAUAUGGAUUUUCCUAACAAAGGUUUUCGAUAAAUGUCUAAAACAUCAGGAUUUUUCAGAUGAUUGGAAGAGUGCAAUUAUUGCUGUUCAAAACUGCUCAAAAAAAGAGAAACAGAAGAUAUUAGAUACUAUUGACAAAAAUAUUAACAUUAAGGACGCAGAAAGCUUUUGAUGAGACCAGCCAAGAGAGCAGAUAGGAUUUAGAAGCAGCUUCAAACUAUUAACCACAUACAUUAUAAUGAGAGAUAUAAUAGAGAAGACAAAAAAAAAAAAAAAGAUCUUCC